This 253-nucleotide ribosomal RNA is filed under the name uncultured bacterium. RNAcentral's name for it is "partial 16S ribosomal RNA". It matches the Rfam family "Bacterial small subunit ribosomal RNA", at positions 524 to 776 of the family's 1533-position model. The record is from RNAcentral.
UACAGAGGAGGCAAGCGUUAUUCGGAAUCACUGGGUUUAAAGCGCGUGUAGGCGGCGGGGCAAGCGUCCCGUGACAUCCCACUGCUCAACGGUGGAACUGCGGGGCGAACUGCCCGACUUGCGGUUGGUAGAGGUGUCCGGAACUCUAGGUGGAGCGGAGAGAUGCGUAGAUAUCUAGAGGAACGCCAGAGGCGAAAGCGGGGCACUGGGCCUAUUCUGACGCUGAGACGCGAAAGCGUGUGGAGGAAACAGG